Molecule: ribosomal RNA, 444 nt
Filed under: uncultured bacterium
Lineage: Bacteria
Description: bacterial SSU rRNA
Rfam family: Bacterial small subunit ribosomal RNA
Source: RNAcentral
AACGAACGCUGGCGGCAGGCUUAACACAUGCAAGUCGAAGGAGAAGCAGGGCUUCGGCCCUGUGGACACUGGCGGACGGGUGAGUAACGCGUGGGAACCUGCCCUGGGUGGGGGACAACCGCUGGAAACGGCGGCUAAUACCGCAUACGCCCUUCGGGGGAAAGCUUUAUGUGCCCUGGGAUGGUCCCGCGUCGGAUUAGCUUGUUGGUAGGGUAACGGCCUACCAAGGCAACGAUCCGUAGCUGGUCUUAGAGGAUGAUCAGCCACACUGGGACUGAGACACGGCCCAGACUCCUACGGGAGGCAGCAGUGGGGAAUAUUGGACAAUGGGCGAAAGCCUGAUCCAGCCAUGCCGCGUGAGUGACGAAGGCCUUAGGGUUGUAAACUCUUUUGGCGGGGACGAUAAUGACGGUACCCGCAGAAUAAGCCCCGGCUAACUUCGUG